Molecule: unclassified non-coding RNA, 2020 nt
Filed under: Haliotis rubra (blacklip abalone)
Lineage: Eukaryota; Metazoa; Mollusca; Gastropoda; Lepetellida; Haliotidae
Description: importin subunit alpha-9-like, transcript variant X3
Source: RNAcentral
UUUCCGGCCUCAAUAAUGGAACGAAAAGAUAAAUAUAAACAUGCAGCUGAAAGUGUGGAAUCCAUUCGAAACAGGAGACGACACGAGGACAAUGUGGUGAGAAAAGACAAAAGACAGCAGUUGCUGAAUUCCAAGCGAUUCCGUCGAUGUUCUGCAGAAUAUCCAGAAAUCUCCAAUGAACAGGUGAUUGAGGCCACGAAGGACCUCCAGAAGAAAGGGGAUAAUCGACACAGGAGUCUGCAGACCCUCCGGAGGUCCUUUGCUCAGGGAUCAGCAUACAUUGAUGUGUUUCUCGGGAUAGAGAACUCCCUACAGUGUCUGGUAGGGCUCCUGACAGGAAGUGAUGCUGACCUCCAACUCGAGUCCGCCUGGUGUCUCACCAACAUCGCUGCCGGCACGCAUGAUCACGCCAUGGCUGUCACCAAAACAGCUGCACCAUAUCUCAUCACCUACCUGGGCAGCAGCAACCAUCUCCUGACUGACCAGUGUGCUUGGGCUUUGGGGAACCUGGCUGGGGACAGCAAGCAGAUCAGGGAGAUCCUCCAGGCACAGGGAUGUGUACUACCGCUGGUCAAGCUCAUAGAGUCUCCAACUCCUGAUGUGGUGCAGUGUGCAGCUUUUGCCUUGUCCAACCUCGCUCGGGAAUCUGCUGACAUCACCAGGGAGAUUGUGAAGUGUGGUGUCAUCCACCCCCUGUCUCUGAGACUGAAGGAGGGGACAGACAACCACAGACUCCUCUCCGAGCUGGCGUGGAUGCUGACAUAUCUCACUGCCAGCGGAGAACACACAGCAGAUAUUGUGUCCCAAGGCUGUCUGGUCCAGGUGGUGGAAUAUCUCAACAAGCUGUUACAUGAGCCUCGUCAGGAUGCACAGGCCAUGACCCCCCUGCUGCGGACACUGGGAAACAUCUGCAGUGGCCCUGACGAGUACACUCAGCUGGCGCUGGAGAACCCCAACCUGCUAUCUGUCUUUGAGAAGUUCCUCGUUUCCCCAUACAGGCACAUCGUCAAGGAGACACUGUGGGUGCUCUCCAACAUGACCAGUGAAGAGAGCGUGUGUCGAUCAGUAGCCUUUGGCCCCAUCCUGGCACACAUCAUAGAGAGACUGUCUGAUGCCUAUGAUAUCAAAGUAGAGGCAGCCUACCUCCUGUGUAAUCUGGGUUGCCAUGGCGCCGACAUCUGCACAGAGCUGAUUCACAGGGGAGCGAUGCCCCAGAUUGCGCUACUGCUCAAGUCCCCGGAUGUGGAGAUGCUGCACCUGGCGUUGUCCUUCUCAGAGAUGGCGCUGCGACAAGUAGAAGCGGCCAAGUUCCAGUUUGAGGAGAGUGACGGUGUUGCUCGGCUCGAGGGGCUGGAAUAUCAUGAGAAUGAGAUGAUCCGACAGCAGGCACAUGACCUCCUGGACUCGUACUUCAACAUCGGAGAACAGGAAGAAGAAGAAACAAACAUGUAACCAUGGUAACCAGACCUGACUAUACAUAAACUAGUGUGUAAGAAGGGAAUCCCAGCAUGGCUGUGUGGCAGGAAGCACAUCGCUGUUUUGAGAAGUAUUACAGGUCCACACAGGUGAAACAGUUCUCGGUGUUACAGCACCAUCGAGAGAGGAAUCAUGGGGGAUUUGGCUCCUGUAAACACUUAAAUCUGAUGUGCAGAGUUGCUUCCCUUACUCACUCCUGAAACCUCUGAUCAUGAGUUCAAAUCUCUUUUGGCCAUGUGUCUAGGUAUUUCAGCGCCAUAUCAAUGCAGGGUUUGCAUCAGUUUGUCUUCCUUCCCCAUAAACUGGUACUGCUCAAAGCAGAUUCAAACCCAUCUCACUCAACGUUUCUACACGCCAGCUGUGGAAGUAUUGACAACAUGGUAAUCAGAUGUAAGUAACCAUGACCUGUAACCAUAGCAACCAGGUCCAGUCAGGCAUUAUCAUGAUUAAGAAUUUCCCAUCUUCACCAAAGCCAGUUUUAGUAUUUUAGCAGUUGCGGUGUGGAACAAUCAAACCACAGAACAAUAGCAUAUGUUACAGUGUG